RNAcentral lists this ribosomal RNA (809 nucleotides) under uncultured Bacteroidota bacterium. Its description in RNAcentral is "bacterial SSU rRNA". It matches the Rfam family "Bacterial small subunit ribosomal RNA", at positions 1 to 802 of the family's 1533-position model. The record is from RNAcentral. Lineage: Bacteria; Pseudomonadati; Bacteroidota.
GCCCUUAGAGUUUGAUCCUGGCUCAGGAUGAACGCUAGCGGCAGGCUUAAUACAUGCAAGUCGUGGGGCAGCAUGAAUGUAGCAAUACAUUUGAUGGCGACCGGCAAACGGGUGCGGAACACGUACACAACCUUCCUAUAAGUGGGGAAUAGCCCAGAGAAAUUUGGAUUAAUACCCCGUAACAUAAUGAUGUGGCAUCACAUUAUUAUUAUAGCUUCGGCGCUUAUUGAUGGGUGUGCGGCUGAUUAGAUAGUUGGCGGGGUAACGGCCCACCAAGUCUACGAUCAGUAGCUGAUGUGAGAGCAUGAUCAGCCACACGGGCACUGAGACACGGGCCCGACUCCUACGGGAGGCAGCAGUAAGGAAUAUUGGUCAAUGGACGCAAGUCUGAACCAGCCAUGCCGCGUGAAGGAUUAAGGUCCUCUGGAUUGUAAACUUCUUUUAUCUGGGACGAAAAAAGGCGAUUCUUCGUCACUUGACGGUACCAGAUGAAUAAGCACCGGCUAACUCCGUGCCAGCAGCCGCGGUAAUACGGAGGGUGCAAGCGUUAUCCGGAUUCACUGGGUUUAAAGGGUGCGUAGGCGGGCAGGUAAGUCAGUGGUGAAAUCCUGGAGCUUAACUCCAGAACUGCCAUUGAUACUAUCUGUCUUGAAUAUUGUGGAGGUAAGCGGAAUAUGUCAUGUAGCGGUGAAAUGCUUAGAUAUGACAUAGAACACCUAUUGCGAAGGCAGCUUACUACGCAUAUAUUGACGCUGAGGCACGAAAGCGUGGGGAUCAAACAGGAUUAGAUACCCUGGUAGUCAAGGGCG